GAAUAAUGUUUGGAGUAGGAGGACACUCUGGGUAUCCAUUUUAGAAUUUUUGUUUAAUAUCUUACCUGAGAUCUGCCAGGGCUGCUCCCUGCCUCAUCUACAACACCAUUAACCAUUAACGAGCCGGAAGUUCUGUGCCUGAGCUUAGUGCAACAGCGCAGGGGUUAGCUCACUGGCUGAGAGUGAUCAGCUGAUGCUCUCAUCUAAU
Non-coding RNA from Pelobates cultripes (western spadefoot toad), 208 nucleotides. NCBI's taxonomy places the organism in Eukaryota, Metazoa, Chordata, Amphibia, Anura, Pelobatidae. The record is from the annotation of a GenBank genome assembly.